This 501-nucleotide ribosomal RNA is filed under the name uncultured bacterium. RNAcentral's name for it is "partial 16S ribosomal RNA". It matches the Rfam family "Bacterial small subunit ribosomal RNA", at positions 30 to 523 of the family's 1533-position model. The record is from RNAcentral.
AUUGAACGCUGGCGGCAGGCUUAACACAUGCAAGUCGAGCGGAGCGAGGGUGCUUGCACCUUAGCUUAGCGGCGGACGGGUGAGUAAUGCUUAGGAAUCUGCCUAUUAGUGGGGGACAACAUUCCGAAAGGAAUGCUAAUACCGCAUACGCCCUACGGGGGAAAGCAGGGGAUCUUCGGACCUUGCGCUAAUAGAUGAGCCUCAGUCGGAUUAGCUAGUUGGUGGGGUAAAGGCCUACCAAGGCGACGAUCUGUAGCGGGUCUGAGAGGAUGAUCCGCCACACUGGGACUGAGACACGGCCCAGACUCCUACGGGAGGCAGCAGUGGGGAAUAUUGGACGAUGGGCGGAAGCCUGAUCCAGCCAUGCCGCGUGUGUGAAGAAGGCCUUUUGGUUGUAAAGCACUCUAAGCGAGGAGGAGGCUACUUAGAUUAAUACUCUGGGAUAGUGGACGUUACUCGCAGAAUAAGCACCGGCUAACUCUGUGCCAGCCGCCGCGGUAA